This 316-nucleotide ribosomal RNA is filed under the name Odontozona sculpticaudata. RNAcentral's name for it is "partial 12S ribosomal RNA". The record is from RNAcentral. Lineage: Eukaryota; Metazoa; Arthropoda; Malacostraca; Decapoda; Stenopodidae.
ACCUAAGAGAUUUGGCGGUACUCGUUACUUGUUAGAGAAAUUUGCUAUAAGAGAUCGAUAAUCCCCGAAGUAUCUUACUUCUACUUGAAAAUCAGUUUGUAUACCGUCAUAGAUGUUAUUUUUAAAAAAUAUGAAUUAUUUAAUUAAUUUUGUUGAAUAAGAAAUUAGAUCAAGGUGCAGCUAAUGUGGAAGGUUAAAGUGAAUUGCAGUAUAGUAUUAUAGAUGUGUGGAGAAGUUAUUGCAUAAUAUCUUUGAAAGUGGAUUUAAUAGUAAUAAUAUUUUAAUAAGUUAUUUUGAUUUUAGUUCUGGAGUAUGU